AACGAACGCUGGCGGCAGGCCUAACACAUGCAAGUCGAGCGAGGACUUCGGUUCUAGCGGCGGACGGGUGAGUAACGCGUGGGAAUGUGCCCUUCUCUACGGAAUAGCCCUGGGAAACUGGGAGUAAUACCGUAUACGCCCUUUUGGGGAAAGAUUUAUCGGAGAAGGAUCAGCCCGCGUUGGAUUAGGUAGUUGGUGGGGUAAUGGCCUACCAAGCCGACGAUCCAUAGCUGGUUUGAGAGGAUGAUCAGCCACACUGGGACUGAGACACGGCCCAGACUCCUACAGGAGGCAGCAGUGGGGAAUCUUAGACAAUGGGGGCAACCCUGAUCUAGCCAUGCCGCGUGAGUGAUGAAGGCCUUAGGGUUGUAAAGCUCUUUCAGCUGGGAAGAUAAUGACGGUACCAGCAGAAGAAGCCCCGGCUAACUCCGUG
Molecule: ribosomal RNA, 433 nt
Filed under: uncultured bacterium
Lineage: Bacteria
Description: partial 16S ribosomal RNA
Rfam family: Bacterial small subunit ribosomal RNA
Source: RNAcentral